AAACGCAAAAGGUUAAUGAGAAUCAAAGGCACAUAACUCUGGAUUUCACAUUGAAAGAGAGCGAGCUGAUCAAUGGGUUGAAAAGAUAGAUAUUGCCAGAUGUUUACUGUCCAAGGAACAAGCUGUGGAAGCUUUAUUGCUAGCAAAAGUGUCCAUAACCAGAGGUUAUAUCAGCUGUUUUGGUGAACCCCUCCCACAUCUGAACUGACUGACAAAGAGGGCACAGCAUGAUCAUAGAUAUAUUUUGAUGUGAGAGAGGAAGCCAGUCCCGUCAUCGCCAGCUCACCCGCUCUUAAGAUAUCUUUCGGGCCAACUGGGGGCCCAAGGCUGGUCAGGACAAUUGUGAUGAACUGAGAG
Long non-coding RNA from Oncorhynchus tshawytscha (Chinook salmon), 357 nucleotides. The record is from Ensembl. Lineage: Eukaryota; Metazoa; Chordata; Actinopteri; Salmoniformes; Salmonidae.